Molecule: transfer RNA, 62 nt
Filed under: Bacillota bacterium
Lineage: Bacteria; Bacillati; Bacillota
Description: Firmicutes bacterium tRNA-Pro
Rfam family: tRNA
About the family: Transfer RNA (tRNA) molecules are approximately 80 nucleotides in length. Their secondary structure includes four short double-helical elements and three loops (D, anti-codon, and T loops).
Source: RNAcentral
GGCUCAGUUUGGUUUAGAGCGCUGGCUUUGGGAGUCAGAGGUCGCUGGUUCGAAUCCAUGCC